This is a small nucleolar RNA of Xyrauchen texanus (razorback sucker), 222 nucleotides long. RefSeq annotates it as small nucleolar RNA SNORA73 family. The record is from RefSeq and is a predicted model, not a curated record. NCBI's taxonomy places the organism in Eukaryota, Metazoa, Chordata, Actinopteri, Cypriniformes, Catostomidae. The transcript has a single exon.
CCAACGUGGACAUCCUGUGAGACUGCUCUCAUAUGGCUCUGUCCAUGUGGCGAAAAGGGAGCGUAGCACGUAAGUGCCAUGACGUAUAGUCCCGUUCCACGACGUUGGAAAACAAGCUUGUUCCCGGCCUCUGGCUGGUGUGGACAGCGUCCUGUAUAUUCCUAUAUCUUUCCUGAGCCCUUUGGGACGUGUCUGGGGAGGUAAACCAUGCAGUGCACAACC